RNAcentral lists this ribosomal RNA (474 nucleotides) under uncultured bacterium. Its description in RNAcentral is "bacterial SSU rRNA". It matches the Rfam family "Bacterial small subunit ribosomal RNA", at positions 37 to 507 of the family's 1533-position model. The record is from RNAcentral.
CCGUGGCUACGAGGACACGCUUGGCGGCGCGCUUAAUACAUGCAAGUCGAACGAGAAGCCAGAGCUUGCUCUGGUGGAAAGUGGCAACGGGUGAGUAACACGUGAGAAACCUGCCCCAAAGAUUGGGAUAAGCCUUGGAAACGAGGUCUAAUACCAAAUACCUUCCUUUUAACACAUGUUAAAAAGAAGAAAUGCUCCGGCGCUUUGGGAUGGUCUCGCGAUCUAUCAGCUUGUUGGUGAGGUAACGGCUCACCAAGGCAUCGACGGAUAGCUGGUCUGAGAGGAUGUCCAGCCACAUUGGAACUGAGACACGGUCCAAACUCCUACGGGAGGCAGCAGUAGGGAAUCUUGCACAAUGAGGGAAACCUUGAUGCAGCGACGCCGCGUGCGGGACGAAGGCCCUAGGGUUGUAAACCGCUUUCAGUAGGGACGAAAGUGACGGUACCUACAGAAGAAGCCCCGGCCAACUAUGUG